RNAcentral lists this ribosomal RNA (428 nucleotides) under Brachythecium moriense. RNAcentral describes it as "eukaryotic LSU rRNA". The stretch from base 2 to 115 matches the Rfam family "5.8S ribosomal RNA", at positions 40 to 154 of the family's 154-position model. The record is from RNAcentral. Lineage: Eukaryota; Viridiplantae; Streptophyta; Bryopsida; Hypnales; Brachytheciaceae.
GAGAACGCAGCGAAAUGCGAUACGUAGUGUGAAUUGCAGAAUUCCGCGAAUCAUCGAGUCUUUGAACGCAAGUUGCGCCCGAGGCUUGUCCGAGGGCAUUUCCGCUAGAGCGUCACCGCGCCCCCCCACCGAUCCACUCUCGCCGCGAGGCGCCAGUCGGGUCGAGUGCAAGUGGCCGUCCCGGUGGAGCGGGCCUCCUUUCGCGAGGAGGCCUGACUUGGAAGGGUCGGCUGAAAUGGAUGGAAUCGGGCCGCCGUGGUGACACAGUCCGCGAUCGGGUGAUUUCGUCGCGAGGCUCCUUCGGGAGGUUCUCGGCGAAUUUUUUCUAAGUGCUUGGCUGCGUCCCCCAGUUGGCUCGGGUUACCUCAUGCAGGUCGAGCGCGCCCCCGCGGCGCGCGUCACGCAUCAGACCUCUAAUCGGAAAAGAC